GAUUUACAUUUGAGUGAGUGGCGAACUGGUGAGUAACACGUGGGAAACCUGCCCAGAAGCGGGGGAUAACACCUGGAAACAGAUGCUAAUACCGCAUAACAACUUGGACCGCAGGGUCCGAGUUUGAAAGAUGGCUUCGGCUAUCACUUUUGGAUGGUCCCGCGGCGUAUUAGCUAGAUGGUGGGGUAACGGCUCACCAUGGCAAUGAUACGUAGCCGACCUGAGAGGGUAAUCGGCCACAUUGGGACUGAGACACGGCCCAAACUCCUACGGGAGGCAGCAGUAGGGAAUCUUCCACAAUGGACGAAAGUCUGAUGGAGCAACGCCGCGUGAGUGAAGAAGGGUUUCGGCUCGUAAAACUCUGUUGUUAAAGAAGAACAUAUCUGAGAGUAACUGUUCAGGUAUUGACGGUAUUUAACCAGAAAGCCACGGCUAACUACGUGCCAGCAGCCGCGGUAAUACGUAGGUGGCAAGCGUUGUCCGGAUUUAUUGGGCGUAAAGCGAGCGCAGGCGGUUUUUUAAGUCUGAUGUGAAAGCCUUCGGCUCAACCGAAGAAGUGCAUCGGAAACUGGGAAACUUGAGUGCAGAAGAGGACAGUGGAACUCCAUGUGUAGCGGUGAAAUGCGUAGAUAUAUGGAAGAACACCAGUGGCGAAGGCGGCUGUCUGGUCUGUAACUGACGCUGAGGCUCGAAAGUAUGGGUAGCAAACAGGAUUAGAUACCCUGGUAGUCCAUACCGUAAACGAUGAAUGCUAAGUGUUGGAGGGUUUCCGCCCUUCAGUGCUGCAGCUAACGCA
RNAcentral lists this ribosomal RNA (796 nucleotides) under Lactiplantibacillus paraplantarum. Its description in RNAcentral is "bacterial SSU rRNA". It matches the Rfam family "Bacterial small subunit ribosomal RNA", at positions 76 to 859 of the family's 1533-position model. Lineage: Bacteria; Bacillati; Bacillota; Bacilli; Lactobacillales; Lactobacillaceae. The record is from RNAcentral.